Molecule: ribosomal RNA, 696 nt
Filed under: Pseudomonadota bacterium
Lineage: Bacteria; Pseudomonadati; Pseudomonadota
Description: bacterial SSU rRNA
Rfam family: Bacterial small subunit ribosomal RNA
Source: RNAcentral
AUUGAACGCUGGCGGAAUGCUUUACACAUGCAAGUCGAACGGUAGAGGGGGCAACCCCUUGAGAGUGGCGAACGGGUGAGUAAUAUAUCGGAACGUGCCCAGUCGUGGGGGAUAACGUAGUGAAAAUUACGCUAAUACCGCAUACGAUCUAAGGAUGAAAGCGGGGGAUCGCAAGACCUCGCGCGACUGGAGCGGCCGAUAUCAGAUUAGGUAGUUGGUAGGGUAAAGGCCUACCAAGCCAACGAUCUGUAGCUGGUCUGAGAGGACGACCAGCCACACUGGAACUGAGACACGGUCCAGACUCCUACGGGAGGCAGCAGUGGGGAAUUUUGGACAAUGGGCGAAAGCCUGAUCCAGCCAUUCCGCGUGCAGGAUGAAGGCCCUCGGGUUGUAAACUGCUUUUGUACAGAACGAAAAGGUCUCUAUUAAUACUGGGGGCUCAUGACGGUACUGUAAGAAUAAGCACCGGCUAACUACGUGCCAGCAGCCGCGGUAAUACGUAGGGUGCAAGCGUUAAUCGGAAUUACUGGGCGUAAAGCGUGCGCAGGCGGUUAUAUAAGUCAGAUGUGAAAUCCCCGGGCUCAACCUGGGAACUGCAUUUGAGACUGUAUAGCUAGAGUACGGUAGAGGGGGAUGGAAUUCCGCGUGUAGCAGUGAAAUGCGUAGAUAUGCGGAGGAACACCGAUGGCGAAGGCA